This 77-nucleotide transfer RNA is filed under the name Candidatus Cloacimonadota bacterium. RNAcentral's name for it is "tRNA-Arg". It matches the Rfam family "tRNA". Rfam says of the family: Transfer RNA (tRNA) molecules are approximately 80 nucleotides in length. Their secondary structure includes four short double-helical elements and three loops (D, anti-codon, and T loops). Further hydrogen bonds mediate the characteristic L-shaped molecular structure. tRNAs have two regions of fundamental functional importance: the anti-codon, which is responsible for specific mRNA codon recognition, and the 3' end, to which the tRNAs corresponding amino acid is attached (by aminoacyl-tRNA synthetases). tRNAs cope with the degeneracy of the genetic code in two manners: having more than one tRNA (with a specific anti-codon) for a particular amino acid; and 'wobble' base-pairing, i.e. permitting non-standard base-pairing at the 3rd anti-codon position. The record is from RNAcentral. Lineage: Bacteria; Pseudomonadati; Candidatus Cloacimonadota.
GCCCUCGUAGCUCAACUGGAUAGAGCAGUUCCGUCCUAAGGAAAAGAUUGGAGGUUCAACUCCUCUCGAGGGCACCA